This 370-nucleotide ribosomal RNA is filed under the name uncultured bacterium. Its description in RNAcentral is "bacterial SSU rRNA". It matches the Rfam family "Bacterial small subunit ribosomal RNA", at positions 527 to 896 of the family's 1533-position model. The record is from RNAcentral.
GUAGGGGGCAAGCGUUAUCCGGAUUUACUGGGUGUAAAGGGAGUGUAGACGGUUUUGCAAGUCUGAAGUGAAAGCCCGGGGCUUAACCCCGGGACUGCUUUGGAAACUGUAGGACUAGAGUGCAGGAGAGGUAAGUGGAAUUCCUAGUGUAGCGGUGAAAUGCGUAGAUAUUAGGAGGAACACCAGUGGCGAAGGCGGCUUACUGGACUGUAACUGACGUUGAGGCUCGAAAGCGUGGGGAGCAAACAGGAUUAGAUACCCUGGUAGUCCACGCCGUAAACGAUGAUUACUAGGUGUUGGUGGGUAUGACCCAUCGGUGCCGCAGCAAACGCAAUAAGUAAUCCACCUGGGGAGUACGUUCGCAAGAAUG